RNAcentral lists this ribosomal RNA (489 nucleotides) under uncultured bacterium. RNAcentral's name for it is "bacterial SSU rRNA". It matches the Rfam family "Bacterial small subunit ribosomal RNA", at positions 28 to 508 of the family's 1533-position model. The record is from RNAcentral.
GAUGAACGCUAGCUACAGGCUUAACACAUGCAAGUCGAGGGGCAGCAUUGGAGUAGCAAUACUUCAGAUGGCGACCGGCGCACGGGUGAGUAACACGUAUCCAACCUGCCGCUUACUCGGGGAUAGCCUUUCGAAAGAAAGAUUAAUACCCGAUGGUAUAAAGAGUUCGCAUGUUCUCUUUAUUAAAGAAUUUCGGUAAGCGAUGGGGAUGCGUUCCAUUAGAUUGUUGGCGGGGUAACGGCCCACCAAGUCUACGAUGGAUAGGGGUUCUGAGAGGAAGGUCCCCCACAUUGGAACUGAGACACGGUCCAAACUCCUACGGGAGGCAGCAGUGAGGAAUAUUGGUCAAUGGACGAGAGUCUGAACCAGCCAAGUAGCGUGAAGGAUGACUGCCCUAUGGGUUGUAAACUUCUUUUAAUAAGGGAAUAAAGUGAGGGACGUGUCCCUUUUUGUAUGUACCUUAUGAAUAAGGAUCGGCUAACUCCGUGC